This 13801-nucleotide long non-coding RNA is filed under the name Brassica rapa (field mustard). RNAcentral's name for it is "long non-coding RNA (BRAP_LNC003034)". Lineage: Eukaryota; Viridiplantae; Streptophyta; Magnoliopsida; Brassicales; Brassicaceae. The record is from RNAcentral.
CCAAAACUUCAUCAAAACUUGUGUUUCCUUGCCUGCUUAGCUCUCUCGUUCCUAACAAAAAAAGAAGAACAGAACAUCUAUCAUGUCUUUGAUCAAGACCAACAACUUAUUCGCUUCUUUGAUGAUUCUUGUGGCAGUCUUUGGAGUUGCCGUUGGAGACUCUUUGGUCUCUGAAUACAACAAAGACUAUCACGACGUCAUUGAAGUCACUCACAACAUCUUUGAGCAGUCUGAACCAUCUAACAACCCACCGAGAGUCCAAAACUUUAUAUGCGGUGUUCCUGGUCACUGCGGCAUACAUAAGCUAGUCUUACCGUUGGAUCGCUGUGCAGCUCGCUUUCGUAGACCGGUCGGAUCACCAAACAGUACAAUAGAUAAUUUAAUUUCAUCAGCAAAAUUUUGUGCUAAUAUGAUUGUAUUAUUAAAAACAAUGUUGCUUGCUUGAUAGUAAGCAAUAUAUUCGUAAUUGUUUUUUUUUCUCAUUCACAUAAUAAAAUAUAAUAUUUCAUAAUCAUUGAUAUACGAAUUGCACGAGUAAGUUUAAAAUUUGUCAAGUUUGUGAAAACAAUAAAUAAGUACAAUCCCAUAAAAAAAUGAACGGAUUUGUGUAGUAAAAGAAGGAAAACUACAUUAUUGGUAAUCAACAGUCAAGGCCGUGCCUGAAUAUUUUAGGCCCUCAAGCAUAAAUUUUUGUUUGGCACAUUAACUAUUAGCUUUCAAAAAUAUAUACACACAGAUUUGAACCUAUGUUCUUAAACAUGCACACAAAUACAAUUAUCAAUAGAGCUAUAGACGUUUUUACACUGAUUAAGUAUUGGCCCCUUAAAAUUUUAAAGCAAUUUUGGCCCCAACACAUGCUUCUACUCAAGAAUGCAAAAAGUGUAGUUUCUGAUUCUACUCUGUUCAACACAGGCCUUCAUUAUCUCCACUGUAAGAUUUGGGUUACUCUCUGCAAACAGCUUGAGCUCAUCAGAGUAAGCAAUUGUAGCUAUAUUCAUUCGGAUACAGCUUAAGGCAGCAUUGUUUAGUGCGUCAUCGAAAGGGAUUUGGGCAAGCUCAUAAACGUCAAGAGCAUUAGAUGCGUUCAGAGAAGAUAUAAGUUCGUUUCUGGUCAGGUCUCGUAGAUGCGGGAUCUCAUAUUUAUCCGCUGCUAGAUAAAGUGAUCGAGCAUGCCCUGCACAAGGCGUUGAGCCAUCACUGUAUAUGAACUCUACCAAAGCCUUUAGCUCUUCGUGUUUCAUCUCAGAGAGAGUGAUUAUCUCUUUCUCAGACGAAGUCUUGCACUCAUCCUCCUCCAGCAUCUUCUUAAAGACCUUUGAUCUUGCAGCCUUUUCAAAUAUCAAGUAAGGGUCACUCUUCAACCAAUUAUCAAAAAUCUAUAUAUUUUAAUGGGUCACAUAAUAUCUAAUACCAAAAGUUGGAUUACAGUGCAUAAACAACUAACUUUGAAACAAAAAGAAAUAAUACUAAAAGAACUUGUAUUAUGAAACAGGAGUAAUACAAAAUAUUAGAGUGUGUCAAAUAUUGUUUUCUAAACCAGAUAACAAAAAAAUAAAUAGGAAGAAGUGAAGACCAGAACAAGUUUGUGAGCGGAGAUUGCUGCAUCUGGAUCGCUGUCUCCUGCCUUGAGCAGCACAUCAACUUGCCAUUGUUCUUCUAAGAUAUGUGCAAACACAUCUAAGAAAAUGUUUAGAUUGCUCUGUUUUGCCAUAACGAUAAUACUGAUAUCACUUGAGUUUCAUUUAGUUAUAUAGAGAAUGAAGACUACGAAGUGAUGAUUCUUUCCUUUUGUGUUUGAAAGCUAGUAAAUUGAUGAUUCCUUCCUCUGAAAACAAGCAUUAUUUAUCUUUCCUUUUGCUUCCUUGUAGUAUCCGAUACUUUGGGAAUGGAGAAGAGACAACUUUAAAAGCCUAACUUCGAAACAUUAUGCUGAGAGUCUGAGACGAUCCUUGUUUUCAAAAUAAGUAUUUUCGUUGAUUUAUUUUAUUUUAUUUAUUUUUACUCUUACUAUCAUUUCUAGGUAAAGAACCUGUGCGAUAUCGCACAGGAACUCAUUUUAUAGAAAAAUAUGCCAUAUUUUAUAUAAUUGUUUUUAAAAAUACAUGUGUAACAAAAUUAUCUUAUUUAGACCUAUAUUCCUUUAUUGAUGAUAUUAGAAAACUAUAUUUAUUGAUGAUAUUAGUUGUAACAAAAUUACAUAUAUAUCAAGACCAAAUAAGAUAUAUGUCUACUCAUUUACUAAAUUUAUAAAGUUAAGAGAUUUUUAUAUUCAUAAUUUUUUGAAACCAUAUAAAAAUGCAUGUACAGUAGAAAAUGAUUACAUGUGUAGUUAGAAUGCUUAGAUUUGGAAAAACACAGUUAUAGUUUGCAAUGAAUAUUUAUAAAUAAAAAAUGAUAAGUUAUAUUCUAAAACAUAUAUAGAGUUGUGUUAUUUCGGUAAUAUAAAUUAUAUUUCAUUAAAAUUAAUUUGUGAAAGUUGGUUGAUUAGUAGAUGCUAUUUUCUAGAUUUCUUUUAAAAAAAUAUAUAGUAUAUAAAAUGAUAAUAUAUAAACAUUGAACAAAUAAGAAAAAGACACAUUCAUAGAUCAUUUUUCAAGUUAAAAAAAAGAAACACAUGAAAAUAUAUUUAUUUGGACUAUUUAAAUGUAUAAUAAAUAAAAUUGAUGAAAAGAUAUAUCUUUAGAUUUUAUUUUUUACAAUGGUUAAAAACCAAGCAAUGGUUAACUAAGAGUUAUAAUGGUUAGCAUUAAAAAUUGAAUUGGUUCAUAUUAAAGUCUAUCAUUACCAAUAGUUUCAAGGAUUAACAAUAAAAGUUGCAAUGGUUCAUCACUAAAGUCUAUUGUUGCCAAUAGUUGCAAGAUUUAUCAUAGUUGUAAACUUGUAAUGAUUUAUCACUGAAUAUUAUAUAUGUAUAUAAAAAUAGAUAUAAAAACGAAUGAAAGACAACUCCUUAUUGGUUCUGAAUUUCUGAUGAAAAAUAGAGUCACGAUCUAGGACCACCGGCCUUCUGUCAGUGGUUCCAUUUUCCUCUUUUAUUUAGUUUUUUUUUUCAUCUUCUUUUCAAUUGAUAAAGAUUUCAAAGUUCUUAGAAAAGUUUACCUUCAAGGACAUAUUUUGUGUUUCCAAUUACCAAUUUAGACACUUUGGGUUUGGAAGACACUUUCCCAAGUCACUUUGUCCAAUUUGUCCUUGAACUAGAUAUCAACGUGUUUGAAUAAAUAAUGAAUUAUAAAAACAUUAAUUUUUUAUAUAUUUUGCAUCGAUAACUCAAAAUCUCCAGAUCCCCUUUCUCUUAACCUAAUCCUAAAAACAAUCUUUCAUAUUCAUCUAUCAUCUUGGAUAAGUACAAUUGAACCAAAGCACCGUUGUCUUCUCUGUCACUUUCUGAGAGAGUCGUGUUCACCGCCGUGUUCUUUCGUGAUAAAAGAUAUCAACUUUGCCAUGGAUAUGGAUGAUGACGGAUCUCUGUGAUGGAGAUGGACACUGAUGAAGCUCUGCACCACCUCUGUCAUCGCUUCAGUGGCGCGUACGAGAAGCGAGAUUCUGAGAAGAAUCGAAAAAGGACACGACAAGGAUUUACGUCGUUGACGCCGCAGUUUCAGUGGCGAGUGUCUUGGGAGAGGGAGGAAGAAGCUGGAGGAGAAGUAGGGAAGACGAUGGUGAGCAGGUCCGACCUUCAAUGUGGAGAGGACGACGACAUCGAGCUCUCGUGAUGCAGACAGAGGAUGUGUGGAUGUGGACGAAAGUUGUAUGGAUGUGGUCAUUGUGGACAUGAGACUUGGAAUCAAGUGCGAAGUGGUCAGAUAAGAGGUGGUCAGAUGAGAUAUGGAUAACAGUGAAGAUUCCACAUGUGUCUUCUAUGCUCUGGUUAUUUACGAGAUUCAUAUGUCUUGGGAGAGGGAGGAAGAAGCUGGACGAGAGGUAGGGACAACGAUGGUGAGCAGGUCCGAUCUCCAAUGUGGAGAGGACGACGACAUCGAGCUCUCGUGAUGCAGACAGAGGAUGUGUGGAUGUGAUCGGUGUGGACGGCAGCUGUAUGGAUGUGGUCAUUGUGGACAUGAGACUUGGAAUCAAGUGCGAAGUGGCUAGAUAAGAGGUGGUCAAAUGAGAUAUGGAUAACAGUGAAGAUUCCACAUGUAUCUUCCAUGCUCUGGUUAUUUACAAGAUUUAUAUGUUUUGGGAGAGGGAGGAAGAAGCUGGACGAGAGGUAGGGACAACGAUGGUGAGCAGGUCCGAGUUUUGGUGUGGAGAGGACAACAUUACAUCGAGCUCUCGUAAUGUGGACAAAGGAUGUGUGGGUGUGAUUGGUGUGGACGACAGUUAUGUGGAUGUGGUCGUUGUGGUCAUGAGACUUGGGGUCAAGUGCGAAAUGGUCAGAUGAGAUAUGAAUAACAGUAAAGAUCCUAUAUGUGUUUUUUAUACUCUGGUAAAUAACGAGAUUCAUAUAAGAUGAUAGUUUCUGCAUUUUGCAAACGUUGAUGUUUCUUUCUGUAGUGUACAAAUAUAUUUUCCUCAUAUACUUUUUGUUUAGAAACCAGAAGAAAGAUCUAUCAGAUAAAUGUUAAAACUCUUAAACUAAAUUAACAAAACUUCAAACCCAGAACUUCACAACCACCAUUAAAUCUUUUUUUUCGAAACGGAACCGAUGGCCAAAUUAACACAAUUCACAUAAAUCUAUAUACCAACCUUUUUAAUAAUAAAUGUUGCAUUUAUUGCAACCACACGAAAAUUUAGUUAGCUUUGCUGUUGGUUUCUUGAAAAGAACAUUUUUCUACUUACACAAAACCAAGGGCAUUUAUGUCCUGAAAAAACACCUGUCCACACAAAGUGUGCCAAACAAACAAUGUGUCUUUAAGAGAAAAGAAAAUUCAUAAUGUGUCUUUAUAUGUAAGUCUCUCAAGUUCUUAUCAAUACUUCCAUCAAUAAGAUGAGACUGUUUUGUUCUCUUUUAAACACAUGCAUGGUUCUGGGUGCGAUCAUAAAGGCGAUUUUUGAAGAGUCAUGCCCUUUCGCCAUUAACUGGCAUUGUAUUUCUCUGUAGAGUUCUAUCCGUGUCUCAGUGACGGUUAUGUCAGGCCGGAGUAAACGUCGGACGGUUAUUGAUUCCAUAAAUACCGAUUUGAGUGCUCUAUAUAUAUGUAUAUAUUCUGUUAUGUUUUUUUUUUUUGAACUUAUAUAUUCUGUUAUGUUUCUUUCUUCCUAUGUGUUGAUCGAAUUUUUGGAAUCUGUUUUUCAUUGUUUAUUCUGAUCAUGGAUGAGAAAAUACAAAAGAAACUGCAGGAAAAUUCCCUGAAUGAAACAUUUACAAUAUCUAACCCAAAUAAACCUAAACAUAGUAUAUGUUUCUAUUAUUUUUUUCAUUAGAAACCAACCGUGAAAUUGCUUAAUCGAAUUGGCUAACAACCGAAACUGGUCAUAGUUAAGAAAUUGAAAUGUUUCAAAAUGAAUUGAAACUUGUGAAUCAUUAAGGAUCUCAACUGUUGACUGAUCAAGUGAUCAUUAAUAUUAAUACGCAAUUGAAAACAAUGCCUCGGACUUUUACUAUUAAUAGAAUAAUUGAUGACUCAAAAGUUUAUAAUUUUCAGUUGUUUUCCAAACUUCAAAAUCAGUGAUUAAUUAAUAGAAUGUUUCUCUCAACAAAAUACUCUUCAAAUUGUUGAAUAUAUUUACUAUUAAUUGAACCAACAAUUGUUUCAUUUUGCAAAGAAAUUAAAUAAAACAAUGAAAGAGUAUAUAUAGACCUUAAAUGAAUCUUAAAUGUGAGAUUUCGAUACUUAAACAAACUAUAGUGAUAUCACUGAAAUUUUGUAUAAAAAUAGAACAUGAAACAUGUGUUCAAUGAAAAGUACAUAUCACAAAAACAAAAUUUGUUAGUAUGUUCAAUCUAAAACAUGUACCUCUUAAAAUGAUAUUUAUACGAAAAGUCACAAUUUUUCAUUUUAAAUAGUCACAACUUUUAAAAUAACUGAAAUCGAAUUCACAACCCUUAGAUUCACGACCCUUGCAAUAAUUGGAUCCCACAUCAACCAUAAGAUCUCCAGGUGCACAAAAAAAACAAAAAAAAACCACGAGAUCUCCCAGAUCAAGUCCUGGUCCUCCUUCGACCGCAGCACCACCGCCUGGCUCACCGACGGUCUCAGCCUCCUCAGAGACGGCCAAGAAACGCUAUCCAACAUACUCCACCUCCCUCAUUCACAAGAGUCUCCGCAACCGCCCCGUGUUCUUCGAGAAUCUUCUCCGUUUCGUCGACGCCUACGGCAUCUUCCGCACGUCGGUCCUCUCCCUCCGCGAGCACCAGUCCGCCGCUCAAGUCGCUCUCCGGAAAAAAGACGACGUCAAAAUCUCCUCCUACGUAAAAUCUCGCCGCGCUCUCGCGCGAGACGUCGCGAAGCUGACGUCAUCUAUACGCGAGCCGAAGACGAAUACAACCACUGCCACGUGGACGUUUUGAACGGGUCGUACGGUGAAGCAGAGCUGGCGUCGGUCAUCGAGGUCACUGUUUUGGUAUCCGUGGUGCUUUUUAACGGCAUUUACUUAUCUCUCCGUUCGAGUAAAACAAUAGCGUUUGUUGGGUUUCUUAAGAGGUCAGUCAGAGAAGAGAGACAAGAACUGUGAAGGGAUCGAGGAGCUGAAGCAAGUCGAGGAGAAGAGUUGGUUGGGUUGAGCAAGAAGAAAAACGAAGAAGAUGCAUGAUGGAACUUGAGAAUUCGAUCGUUGAAAUUAGUGUUUAGGGGUUUGAUUAGUAGUCGGGUCUCAUUGCUUAAUGCCCUAACACAUUAACAUUAACAUUGUCAUUUUCAUAAUCUUGUUCCUUUUCUUCAAGAUUUCAGUAUGUAUCUGCGUUUUUGUCCUAUUUUUAUUUAUUUGUAUGAGUUAAAUACUUUGGAUAAAAUAGAAAACAAAGAUAUAUACAUUACAUGUUGUUUUCAUACAAAUAUGAGAAUUCUUAUAUCGAGAGUUCUAUAACAAAAUUUUUUACAUUUUAGAGUUAUGUUUUAUAAUAAUUCAUGUCAAAUUAUUAUAUUUACCUCACACCGAUGAGCUGUUUUAUGAAAAUAUACAUCUGAAAGUUCUCUUUGCAUAAAUGAUAAUAAAUUACAUUUUUAAGGUUUGAAUCUAGAAUUUCAUGGUAUAUAAAUAUCAAUGAAAUUUUAGUUCAACCAAAGGAUAAGGAGAUUUCCAUCUUUGUUGUUCUUAUGUUAGAAACAACCCAAAAUUUUAUGUUCGAUUUAAUUGGAUAUAAGAAUUAAUUUGAUGAUUAUAAUUACUAUGUAUUUGUAUAAUCCAAUUUUUUUUUGGAAUAAAUGGUUACGCGUUAAGAACCAAGGUCCACUUGCUUUCACAAACCACCAUCCGAUGGCCAUGGCCAUGCAUAAUCGUUUAUUUGGCAGGCAACAAAACAUUAAACAUCAGUAUGGGAACAGCGUGCAUGAACUGACUCAUUUGACACAUAUAUUUGCCGGAAAUACUUGAGAGAAAAUAAAAUUAAAGGACAUAAGAAGACAUAACUUGCAAGACUAAGACUAAUAAUUUCAUUGUUUCGUUGUAAAUUUUUGGCUAUCUAAACACAUAAAACUCUUCAUAUUAUUUUUUGUUGACAACGUUUCAUUUGAAUAUUUUCUAAAACUUAAGUAAUUGCACAUAAUUUUUUUUCCUCGCUAUUUUAUUAGAUUAGUGAAAAUUUUAUUUUGAGAAAGGGCUUGGAUAAAAACUAUUUAUAGAUUUUCAAAAAUUUAUUUGAAUAGUCACAACUCUUCAAUUUGAAUAGUCACGUUCUUCAAAUUUAAAGGUAGUUAUUUUGAAAAGAUACUUAUAAGAAUAGUCACAACUUUUUAUUUCUUAAAAGAUACUUAUAUGAAAAGUCACAACCAUUAGACAAUUUUUAGAAAAGACACAAUCUUACAACAUUAAACUUUUAGAAAAGAUACAACUUUUUAGAUAUAUUUUACAAAAGACACAACCUUUCAACAUAAGUAGAUUCAUAACCUUUGGAAUUAAUUGGAAUCGAACAAAAUUAUAACCGUCACAAAAAAGUAUUAGGUUAAUUAAACCGCAUGCAUGCAAAAUAUUUUUCAUUCCUGAGAAUCUUAAUAUGCAUGUAGAUUUGGACAAAACAAAGUUCCAGAGUAAAUCGCAUGCAUGAAUUCCUUGUAAACUUUUUUUUAUGAAUUCUAUAUAUAAUGUAAAGCAAAGAAUUCGUUCACGUAUGACUACUAUCGACAAAAAUCCAUAACAAAAGAAGAACAAAUUUCAAGCACUUGUUCAACCAUUGCACAUGUUCGUUUAUGUUUCAAAAGAAUCAAAACUUACAGAACCUUAAACGUUAUAACCAAAAAAUAUUUCCAGAAACUUAAAUGCCACAAUGCAACAUUUCCAGAUGCCGUGUGUAUAUAAAUGGUUUAUGAAUGUACACUUAAAUACAUGUUUUAUGUUUACGCUGGACAUGAUUAUUUACGUUUCUAAUCCAACAUCAGAAUUCAUAAAUGCAUGCAAAGCAUUAAUUCAUGCAUAAAAUGUUUAAUUAUUUUUACCAAAAAAAAUGUUUAAUUAUGCCGACCGUAGCCUCUAUCACGAACACUCACUAAUGGAUGUAAUAUGCUCGUUAAAAAGAUGUGAGAAGGAUACACGUGAUAGUUCGGGAAAAUGAAUUAGAAGUUCAGUUGAAGGAGAAAACAUGAUAGGAGAACUUGACUCUAGAUCAUAAUGGCAAGCGAUUUAUUCAAGCUCGGAAUAAAAAUAUUGCAGUUUGGACAAGACCUCCUGCUGGUUAUGUUAACUGUAAUGUUGAUACAUCGUUCGAUCAUUCAUUUGAAUAUGUCUUCUAAAAAUUUGUAUCCAUGUAAUUGCUUAGAACUUUUUUCCACCAUUUUUUAUUAGUUCGAUUAGUGAAACUUUAAUUUUGAGAAAUGCAUGGUAGAGACUAUUUAUAGAUUUUAAAAAUCUGUUUGAAUAGUCGUAACUCUUCAAUUUGAAUAGUCGCAUUCUUCCAAUUUAAAGAUAGUUAUUUUGAAAAAAUACUUAUAAGAAUAGUCACAACUUUUUACUUUUUAAAAGAUACUUAUAUGAAAAGUCACAACCAUUAGACAAUUUUUAGAAAAGACACAACCUUACAACAUUAAACUUUUAGAAAAGAUACAACUUUUUAGAUAUAUUUUACAAAAGACACAACCUUUCAACAUAAGUAGAUUCAUAACCUUUGGAAUUAAUUGGGAUUGCUAUUAUUAGUAGAUACAUAUAAAUAAUUUGAUAAUACAAGUUACUUUUGUAAUGUUUGUCAAUUUUAAAUUUUAUUAAUUGAUUAUUUUUUAUACCAGACUUUAGAGAGGUUUAUACUAAAAUAUGUAUCGGAAGGAAACGUUUGUUCGAAUUUUUUUUCUCCGUCAGCUUUAAUUUUAUGAUUAUGUAUAUAAGAAAGUUUUUUACACCAUAAAUAAAUAAAAAAUCGAGAAAAUAAAAAAGAUAACUUUAAAUUACACAAAUAGAUGACUAUUGAAAGUUGUGGUUUAUGAAAAAAGCUACCAUGUUGUUACUCCAUUAUCAAUAAUAUAUAUUUCUACGCGCCAUAUAAGCCCUUAUUAUUUCAACAGUAAGAUCUGUAUUCCUGGUUGCGAACAACUUGAACUCAAGAGAGUUAGCAAUCGUCUUUAGAUUAUUUAUGAUAUAACUAAAUGCAGCAUCGUGGAGGGCAUUGUCAAGAGGAAUCAGAGAGAGCUCCAAGACUUCAAGAGCAUUCGAGAGAGUAAGAGAUUUUACUAGCUCGUUUCUGCAUAGAUCGCGUAGAUGUGGAAUCUCAUAUUUGUCGGCUGUAACAUAGAGUGACCUAACGUGUUCUUUUGCUUUCGCAGAAAGUUUAGAGACGUCACUGUAGACGAAUUUGACCAAAGCCUCUAACUCCUCAUGUUUCAGCUCUGAGAAAGUGACUGUCUCGCAGGAUCGUUUCAGCAUAACGUAGUGCCCACGGCAACAAAAGAUUUCAGGAUUUUUUCGUAUAUUUUUCUUGGGCCUUUCCGUGAUCAUUUUCUUUUCGAAACUUACUAUGGGUCCAACGUCCAUGCUCCUUCGGCCUUUCUGUAGAGAUGGUCUUGCUGCCUCGACCGGUUGAGAUGGAGCUUUGAACUCGUCUAGUUCAGUAUUUUCUUUAACACCUCUGACCUUGAUGCCUAUUCAAAUUCCAAAAAACAAAGGUUAUUGACCACUAAAUAAGCAUUUCAAGUAAAGAGACACUCUCAAACACCGGAGUAUAAUUUCGGUUAUAAAUAAGAAAUACAAGAUACAUUAAGAUGAAGAUGAGACCAGGACAAGUUUGUGUGCAAAGAUGGAUACACCCUCACCAAACAGUACAAUAAAUAAUUUCUUUUUCAUCAGCAAAAUUUUGUGCUAAUAUGAUUGUAUUAUAAAAAAAAAACAAUCUUUACUUGCUUGAUAGUAAGCAAUAUAUAUUCGUAAUUGUUUUUUUUUCUCAUUCACAUAAUAAAACAUAAUAUUUCAUAAUCAUUGAUAUACGAAUUGCACGAGUAGGUUUAAAAUUUGUCAAGUUUGUGAAAACAAUAAAUAAGUACAAUCCCAUAAAAAAUGAACGGAUUUGUGGUAUAUGUCAUAGUAAAAGAACGAAAGCUACAUUAUUGACAAUAAUUAUUGACUAGCUUCUACUCAGGAAUUUUAAAGCAAUUUUGGUCCCAACACAUGCUUGACUAGCUUCUACUUAGGAAUGCAAAAAUUGUACUCCUUUCUGUUUCUAAAUAUAAAAUGUUUAGGAAAAAACACACAUAUUAAAAAAUUAUUAUUUUUUAUCUAGAAAAUAUCAUUAAAACUAUAAAAUAAUUGUAUUCAACCAAUUACAAAAUAUAUUAUUAAAUAUGAUUGGUUACACAGUUUUUAAUAGAGUAAAAGUUACCUAGAAAGUUGAAAACAUCAUAUAUAUUGGAACAUUAAUUUUUUUUGAAACAUUAUAUUUAGGAACAGCUGGAGUAGUUUCUAAUUCUACUCUGUUCAACACAGGCCUUCAUUAUCUCCACCGUAAGAUUUGGGUUACUCUCUGCAAACAGCUUGAGCUCAUCAGAGUAAGCAAUUGUAGCUAUAUUUAUUCGGAUACAGCUUAAGGCAGCAUUGUUUAGUGCGUCAUCGAAAGGGAUUUGGGCAAGCACAUAAACGUCAAGAGCAUUAGAUGCGUUCAGAGAAGAUAUAAGUUCGUUUCUGCUCAGGUCUCGUAGAUGCGGGAUGUCAUAUUUAUCCGCUGCUAGAUAAAGUGAUCGAGCAUGCCCUGCACAAGGCGUUGAGCCAUCACUGUAUAUGAACUCUACUAAAGCCUUUAGCUCUUCGUGUUUCAUCUCCGAGAGAGUGAUUAUCUCUUUCUCAGACGAAGUCUUGCACUCAUCCUCCUCCAGCAUCUUCUUAAAGACCUUUGAUCUUGCAGCCUAUUCAAAUAUCAAGUAAGAGGGUCACUCUCCAAAAUUCACUCUUCAACCAAUUAUCAAAAAUAUAUAUAGUUUAAUGGGUCACAUAAUAUCUAAUACCAAAAGUUGGAUUACAGUGCAUAAACAACUAAUAUUUUGAAACAAAAAGAAAUAUUACUAAAACAACUUGUAUUAUGAAACAGAAGGAGUAAUACAAAAUAUUAUAGUGUGUCAAAUAUUGUUUUCUAAACCAGAUAACAAAAGAAUAAAUAGGAAGAAGUGAUUGACCAAAAAAAAAAGAAAAGGAAGAAAUGAAGACCAGAACAAGUUUGUGGGCCGAGAUUGCUGCAUCUGGAUGGCUGUCUCCUGCCUUGAGCAGCACAUCAACUUGCCAUUGUUCUUCUAAGAUAUGUGCAAACCCAUCUAAGAAAAUGUUUAGGUUGCUCUGUUUUGCCAUAACGAUGAUAUUGAUAUCACUUGAAAUUUCAUUUAGUUAUAUAGUGAACAAAGUGAUGAUUCUUUCCUUUUGUGUUUGAAAGCGAGAAAAUUGAUGAUUCUUUCCUUUGAAAACAAGUAAGUAUUAUUUAUCUUUCCUUUUAAUUCCUUGUAGUAUCCGAUACUUAGGGAAUGAAGAAGAGACAACUUUAAAAGUCUAACUUCAAUACAUUAUGCUGAGAGUCUGAAACGAUCCUUGUUUUCAAAAUAAGUAUUUUCGUUGAUUUAUUUUGUAUUUUUAUAGAAUGUUAAUUUUGAUAAUACAAGUUAAUUUUGUAAUGUUUGUCAAUUUUAAAUUUUAUAAUUGAUUAUUUUUUUAUACCAGACUUUAGAAAGGUUUAUACUAAAUAUGUAUUGGAAGGAAACGUUUGUUCGAACUUUUUUCUCCUUCAGCAAUUUUAUGGUAUGUAUAUUAGAAAGUUUUUUACACCAUAAAUAAAUAAAAAAUUGAGAAAAAGGUAACUUUAAAGUACACAAAAUAUCUGAUAAUGUAUUUUUUAAAUGAUUAAAUUACUCAUAUUUUUUAUAUUACAUAAAUUAAUGAUUCCUUAGAAUUUGAUGAAAUUUUAUUAUGUUAUCCAAAUAAAAAAUGAUAAUAUAAAAAAUCUUAUUGAUAUGACAAUAUUAGUUUAUUUUCGUUAUUAAUAACUUAUUAUGUGUUUGUUUUUUUUAAGAUUUAAAUUUUGAUUUUAAGAUAGUUUUUAAAAUAUUCUUGAACACUCGUAAUUGCGAUAUCAAUAUUAUGUAUAAAAUGACAUUAUACAUGGAAAAAUGAUAUUCAAAUAUGUAUAUGAUAUAUGGUGUAGGAUAUAUGAUUUUGGUUUGUAUUGAAAAAUCUGUAUAUUAUUAAAAUAAUCUAUUUUGAAUAUUGAUACGUAUAUUUAAGAAAAUAAUAUUUUCAUGUUUGUUAAUUUAUUUAUAGUUCAUAAUAUAUUUAUAUUUAUAUUUAUAUUAAAUUUAAAGUUAGUAUAUCUUUUAAAUAUAUAUAUAGGCCCAUUACUUAUAAAUCCAUUUAUGUAGGCCCAAAACAAAAGACUAAAAUAUUAUUAAUGAAUUUUAUUACUCUCUUGUAAAAAUAAGGGUUAUUUUGAAAAAAAAAUGUAAUUUUCAUUAAGGGUAUAAUUUAGGAAUGAUCCUCUUUUAAUGGUAUUGAUACGUAUAGUUUUAGGAACAAAAGUUAUGGCCCUAAAGUAGAUUAAAAUCAAACAAUUACGGGAGGAAAAUCUGUUACAACCAUUUAAAAAAAAACCAAAAAAGCCAUUAAGUGAUAAAAUUGAAUAUAAAAAAAAUUUAGUAAAUGAUAUCCAAAGUUGACAAUUAAUGAUUGGUAUCUAUCUUAUAUACGGAAACGAUGGGAACGGACCUAAGCAAAUAGGAAUUAUCCAUAUAUUUUGAGUAGUUAAAGAAAUAUAAAAAAAAUUCAGAUUACUAAGGCGAAAAGGUUUAUUAGCUCAAGCGAUAGCUAGGGCUCUCUAUAUAAACAUCUUAGGCGUCCUCUCAACUUCUAACCAAACAAACCCAAAACUUCAUCAAAACUUGUGUUUCCUUGCCUGCUUAGCUCUCUCGUUCCUAACAAAAAAAGAAGAACAGAACAUCUAUCAUGUCUUUGAUCAAGACCAACAACUUAUUCGCUUCUUUGAUGAUUCUUGUGGCAGUCUUUGGAGUUGCCGUUGGAGACUCUUUGGUCUCUGAAUACAACAAAGACUAUCACGACGUCAUUGAAGUCACUCACAACAUCUUUGAGCAGUCUGAACCAUCUAACAACCCACCGAGAGUCCAAAACUUUAUAUGCGGUGUUCCUGGUCACUGCGGCAUACAUAAGCUAGUCUUACCGUUGGAUCGCUGUGCAGCUCGCUUUCGUAGACCGGUCGGAUCACCAAACAGUACAAUAGAUAAUUUAAUUUUCAUCAGCA